This 163-nucleotide small nuclear RNA is filed under the name Castor canadensis (American beaver). Its description in RNAcentral is "U1 spliceosomal RNA (ENSCCNG00000008364.1)". It matches the Rfam family "U1 spliceosomal RNA". Rfam says of the family: U1 is a small nuclear RNA (snRNA) component of the spliceosome (involved in pre-mRNA splicing). Its 5' end forms complementary base pairs with the 5' splice junction, thus defining the 5' donor site of an intron. Lineage: Eukaryota; Metazoa; Chordata; Mammalia; Rodentia; Castoridae. The record is from Rfam by way of RNAcentral.
AUACUUACCUGGUAGGGGGAGAUGCCAUGAUCACGAAGGUGGUUUUCCCAGAGCAAGGCUUAUCCAUUGCAUUACGGAUAUGCUGACCCCUACAAUUUCCCCAAAUGUGGGAAACUUGACCAUGUAAUUUGUGGUAGUGGGGGAUUGCAUUUGCACUCUCCCC